GACGAACGCUGGCGGCGUGCUUAACACAUGCAAGUCGAACGGAAAGGCUCCUUCGGGGGUACUCGAGUGGCGAACGGGUGAGUAACACGUGGGUGAUCUGCCCUGCACUUCGGGAUAAGCCUGGGAAACUGGGUCUAAUACCGGAUAGGACUACGCACUGCAUGGUGUGUGGUGGAAAGCUUUUGCGGUGUGGGAUGGGCCCGCGGCCUAUCAGCUUGUUGGUGGGGUGAUGGCCUACCAAGGCGACGACGGGUAGCCGGCCUGAGAGGGUGUCCGGUCACACUGGGACUGAGAUACGGCCCAGACUCCUACGGGAGGCAGCAGUGGGGAAUAUUGCACAAUGGGCGCAAGCCUGAUGCAGCGACGCCGCGUGGGGGAUGACGGCCUUCGGGUUGUAACCGUCUUUCAGCCAUGACGAAGCUUUUCGGGUGACGGUAGUGGCAGAAGGAGCACCGGCC
This 458-nucleotide ribosomal RNA is filed under the name uncultured bacterium. RNAcentral describes it as "bacterial SSU rRNA". It matches the Rfam family "Bacterial small subunit ribosomal RNA", at positions 28 to 498 of the family's 1533-position model. The record is from RNAcentral.